UACGUAGGGUGCAAGCGUUGUCCGGAAUUAUUGGGCGUAAAGAGCUCGUAGGCGGCCUGCUAAGUCGAACGUGAAAUCCCCGGGCUCAACCCGGGAACUGCGUCCGAUACUGGCAGGCUUGAAUCCGGGAGAGGGAUGCGGAAUUCCAGGUGUAGCGGUGAAAUGCGUAGAUAUCUGGAGGAACACCGGUGGCGAAGGCGGCAUCCUGGACCGGCAUUGACGCUGAGGCGCGAAAGCCAGGGGAGCAAACGGG
RNAcentral lists this ribosomal RNA (253 nucleotides) under uncultured bacterium. RNAcentral's name for it is "partial 16S ribosomal RNA". It matches the Rfam family "Bacterial small subunit ribosomal RNA", at positions 524 to 776 of the family's 1533-position model. The record is from RNAcentral.